UAGGGAAUCUUCCGCAAUGGGCGAAAGCUUGACGGAGCAACGCCGCGUGAGUGAUGAAGGUCUUCGGAUCGUAAAACUCUGUUAUUAGGGAAGAACAAAUGUGUAAGUAACUAUGCACAUCUUGACGGUACCUAAUCAGAAAGCCACGGCUAACUACGUGCCAGCAGCCGCGGUAAUACGUAGGUGGCAAGCGUUAUCCGGAAUUAUUGGGCGUAAAGCGCGCGUAGGCGGUUUUUUAAGUCUGAUGUGAAAGCCCACGGCUCAACCGUGGAGGGUCAUUGGAAACUGGAAAACUUGAGUGCAGAAGAGGAAAGUGGAAUUCCAUGUGUAGCGGUGAAAUGCGCAGAGAUAUGGAGGAACACCAGUGGCGAAGGCGACUUUCUGGUCUGUAACUGACGCUGAUGUGCGAAAGCGUGGGGAUCAAACAGG
This 429-nucleotide ribosomal RNA is filed under the name Bacteroidota bacterium. Its description in RNAcentral is "Bacteroidetes bacterium partial 16S ribosomal RNA". It matches the Rfam family "Bacterial small subunit ribosomal RNA", at positions 355 to 776 of the family's 1533-position model. Lineage: Bacteria; Pseudomonadati; Bacteroidota. The record is from RNAcentral.